CCUACGGGAGGCAGCAGUGAGGAAUAUUGGUCAAUGGGCGGGAGCCUGAACCAGCCAAGCCGCGUGAAGGAAGAAGGCUCCAGGCGUCGUAAACUUCUUUUGUCGGGGAACAAAGGGCGCCACGUGUGGCGUUGUGAGUGUACCCGAAGAAAAAGCAUCGGCUAACUCCGUGCCAGCAGCCGCGGUAAUACGGAGGAUGCGAGCGUUAUCCGGAUUUAUUGGGUUAAAAGGGUGCGUAGGCGGUCCGGAAAGUCAGCGGUAAAAGCCCGGGGCUCAACCCCGGCGAGCCGUUGAAACUGUGGGCCUUGAGUGGGCGAGAAGAAGGCGGAAUGCGUGGUGUAGCGGUGAAAUGCAUAGAUAUCACGCAGAACCCCGAUUGCGAAGGCAGCCUUCCGGCGCCCUACUGACGCUGAGGCACGAAAGUGCGGGGAUCGAACAGGAUUAGAUACCCGUGUAGUC
Molecule: ribosomal RNA, 459 nt
Filed under: uncultured bacterium
Lineage: Bacteria
Description: partial 16S ribosomal RNA
Rfam family: Bacterial small subunit ribosomal RNA
Source: RNAcentral